Molecule: ribosomal RNA, 804 nt
Filed under: uncultured Alphaproteobacteria bacterium
Lineage: Bacteria; Pseudomonadati; Pseudomonadota; Alphaproteobacteria
Description: bacterial SSU rRNA
Rfam family: Bacterial small subunit ribosomal RNA
Source: RNAcentral
CGCUGGCGGCAUGCCUCAUACAUGCAAGUCGAACGAGGUCUUCGGACCUAGUGGCGCACGGGUGAGUAACAUGUGGGAAUCUGCCUGAAGGUUCGGAAUAACUGCGGGAAACUGUAGCUAAUACCGGAUGUGUCUGUAAAGAGAAAGAUUUAUCGCCUUCAGAUGAGCCCGCACUAGAUUAGCUAGUUGGUGAGGUAACUGCUCCACCAAGGCUACGAUCUAUAGCUGAUUUGAGAGGAUGAUCAGCCACACUGGGACUGAGACACGGCCCAGACUCCUACGGGAGGCAGCAGUAGGGAAUAUUGGACAAUGGGGGAAACCCUGAUCCAGCAAUGCCGCGUGAGUGAAGAAGGCCUUCGGGUUGUAAAACUCUUUCAUCAAUGAUGAUAAUGACAUUAGUUGAAGAAGAAGCUCCGGCUAACUUCGUGCCAGCAGCCGCGGUAAUACGAAGGGGGCUAGCGUUGUUCGGAAUCACUGGGCGUAAAGCGUAUGUAGGCGGAUCAAAAAGUUAGAUGUGAAAUCCCUGGGCUCAACCCAGGAACUGCAUUUAAAACUAGUGAUCUAGAAUUUGGUAGGGGUUAGUAGAAUUUCCAGUGUAGAGGUGAAAUUCGUAGAUAUUGGAAAGAAUACCAGUGGCGAAGGCGACUAACUGGGCCAUUUUUGACGCUGAGAUACGAAAGCGUGGGUAGCAAACAGGAUUAGAUACCCUGGUAGUCCACGCAGUAAACGAUGAGUGCUAGUCGCUGGGACAAUAGUUUCAGUGUCGAAGCUAACGCAUUAAGCACUCCGCCUGGGAAGUACGGU